GUUCAGUCCUGGUACUCUGUGAGAGGAGUCGCUGCAGCAGCAUGCAGCAGGAGACUGAACCACGCAGGAGGAGGAAUAAACCCAUGCUCCGUAUCGCUCCGGCUGUUAGCUGACGUCACCAUCUGCGGAGUCAGUCUAAAGCCACCAGCAGAAGGAAAAUCCGGACCGGAUUACGCACUGACUGAUGUGACUGACGACCGUGAUGGGAGACGAAACGUGGACUGUGGAUCACUUACACUGGAGGCACAAUAGGAAGGGAUUUCUUUCAUUCUUUCAUUUAUAACGCUACAACCAUUUCAUUGUAUAUUGUAUAUAUUUCAGAUUGUCUACUUUACUAUUUUAUUAUUUAUUUUUAUUUUAUUGUCUACUUUAAUAUUUUAUUUUAUUUUAUUUUAUUUUAAUGUCU
Epinephelus moara (kelp grouper) is the source of this 406-nucleotide long non-coding RNA. RefSeq lists it as uncharacterized. Lineage: Eukaryota; Metazoa; Chordata; Actinopteri; Perciformes; Serranidae. The record is from RefSeq and is a predicted model, not a curated record. The transcript has 3 exons.